Molecule: transfer RNA, 75 nt
Filed under: Thermoproteota archaeon
Lineage: Archaea; Thermoproteati; Thermoproteota
Also listed under: 1 other name
Description: tRNA-Asp
Rfam family: tRNA
About the family: Transfer RNA (tRNA) molecules are approximately 80 nucleotides in length. Their secondary structure includes four short double-helical elements and three loops (D, anti-codon, and T loops).
Source: RNAcentral
GCCCGGGUAGUAUAGUCCGGUUCAGUAUGGGGGACUGUCACUCCUCCGACCCGGGUUCGAAUCCCGGCCCGGGCG